GCCGACGUGGCAGAAUCCGGUAUCGCGCUAGACUCGAGAUCUAGUGCCCUUCGGGGCUUAGGAGUUCAAUGCCAAUCCCUUUUCUUGGAAAGAAAAGGUCUUGGCGAACCCCAAAAGAAGUUGGGGAAACGAACAAAUCUCCUCGUCGGCG
This 151-nucleotide transfer RNA is filed under the name Microcaldota archaeon. Its description in RNAcentral is "tRNA-Ser". It matches the Rfam family "tRNA". From Rfam's summary of the family: Transfer RNA (tRNA) molecules are approximately 80 nucleotides in length. The record is from RNAcentral. Lineage: Archaea; Nanobdellati; Microcaldota.